GGUCUCAUACACCUCGGACACUCUGGACAUUACCGACAACGGCCCGGUCUGGCUCCGAUAGCCGCAGUGUGGAUGGCAGCAACACCAAGGACGAGCCAACGGAACAUCUGACCAUGAAGUUUGCCAGGCUGUGGAUUCUCCAGCCCUGCAAUCGCAGAAAAUCAUUCUCCAUCCACAUUAAAGCUCAGCCCUCUCCAUCACUGGUGCCCCUGACAACACAGGAAAUGGAUCCCACCCGACGGCAGACUCAGCCUCCACACUGUUUAUCACCACAAUUAUCCCCCAUUCAUUCACAGGCUUAUAAGGGGACAUACUGGGAUCUGCUAACGCACUGGAGGAGAGAAUGGAAGGAAGAAAUGGGAGAAGAGCUCAAUAAACAAAUGAAUAACGUAUUCAUGGAGUUGAUGUACUGACAGCCUGUACGAUAUACAGUAUCUGUGACAGAGAAUCUGAGUCUUCAUGUUGUAUCAAAGUUUAAUGACCAUAAAACACUUCCAAGAGUCAGUAAAGUCAGUCAGUAAAGUCUAACACUGUAAUGAAGGCAUCAAUGUCAAACAUGUGUUUAUUUUAAUAACAAUAACCCAUACGUAUUUAACUUCCAUUGUCCUUGAAGAAUGGCUGAAUAUUUUCUUGUAGUGUACCUGGGUAGGACUGUGUGGUAGUGGCACACCGUACAUUAUCCUGCAUGAGUUAGUGGAACGAAAGCCUGUUGUGAUUCCAACUCAUGCAUUGUGUUAUGGCAGAAACAUGUCAGUUUCAUUAUCAUAACUGUUCAUAUGGUGUCAUAUCUGCCCUUCCGUUUAUUGACGACCCAGUAAACGGCAUCAUAAAUAACAGUAUGUUGUUGAUGUGUUCAUUUGAACCAGUAAUGAAGUGAGGAAAAUAGCCAUCUACCAACCUUCAAUGACCAGGUGCACUUCACAUCCACCAAUCCCUGAAAGCAAACAUUUUCCAAUAUGAAGGUUUUGACCACAGAUGACACAAACACAUUCCAAACAACCACUUAAUCACUGCCACAUUGAGGAGGGCUCAGGAUCAGGAUUCAACUGGCAUAAUGAAAUCAUAAACAGAUCCCCUCAUCAAAUGGCUCUGUGAGUCGUGUGGUGGUCUGAUGGGGUUGACCCCUCACCCUCUCCCUGUGGGGGGCGUCUGGGGAGGGGGGGCACGGGAGAUCACACGACGGCCCUGUUCUGGCUCCAUGUCCACACAGACUGGCCUGUUCAGAGAGGGUGGAGGGGUGGAAGUGUUCCCCCUCGUCUGAAAGAGAGCACCAGGUGGCAGGGAUGUGGGCAGGGGGCUUUUGAUGCUGACCCCUGGUCUCUGGGCUGGGAUGGCCCUAGUCAUUGAUCCAGCCAAGGGAGGGAGGGGAGCCAGGUGCCCCUGGUGGGGCUUGGAAUGAGCUGCCACAGUCUGGGCAUGGAGGAGAGGAAUCUGGGCCACACUGGUCCCAGUCACGCCACUAGCCCGAGCCCCAGUGUUGACUGGCUAUAACAUUGUUGACAAGCUAUAACAUUGUUGACAAGCUAUAACAUUGUUGACCGGGUGAUGGACUAAGGGCUCGAUUCAAGCCGUAUCGCCGAAGUUCAGCGCUAUAGCGUGAUUUAAGUUUAAAUGCAAUGUUCCCGCGCUUGUGGAGACUGCAUUCAC
This 1647-nucleotide long non-coding RNA is filed under the name Salmo salar (Atlantic salmon). RNAcentral's name for it is "lncRNA (ENSSSAG00000062956.2)". Lineage: Eukaryota; Metazoa; Chordata; Actinopteri; Salmoniformes; Salmonidae. The record is from RNAcentral.